This 253-nucleotide ribosomal RNA is filed under the name uncultured bacterium. RNAcentral's name for it is "partial 16S ribosomal RNA". It matches the Rfam family "Bacterial small subunit ribosomal RNA", at positions 524 to 776 of the family's 1533-position model. The record is from RNAcentral.
UACAGAGGUCUCAAGCGUUGUUCGGAUUCAUUGGGCGUAAAGGGUGCGUAGGUGGCGCCGUAAGUGGGGUGUGAAAUUUCGGAGCUUAACUCCGAAACUGCAUUCCAUACUGCGGUGCUUGAGGACUGGAGAGGAGACUGGAAUUUACGGUGUAGCAGUGAAAUGCGUAGAGAUCGUAAGGAAGACCAGUGGCGAAGGCGGGUCUCUGGACAGUUCCUGACACUGAGGCACGAAGGCCAGGGGAGCAAACGGG